Molecule: ribosomal RNA, 406 nt
Filed under: uncultured bacterium
Lineage: Bacteria
Description: partial 16S ribosomal RNA
Rfam family: Bacterial small subunit ribosomal RNA
Source: RNAcentral
AUUGAACGCUGGCGGCAGGCUUAACACAUGCAAGUCGAGCGAGCGGCGGACGGGUGAGUAAUGUCUGGGAAACUGGCUGAUGGAGGGGGAUAACUACUGGAAAUGGUAGCUAAUACCGCAUACCAUCAGAUGUGCCCAGAUGGGAUUAGCUAGUGGGUGGGGUAAUGGCUCACCUAGGCGACGAUCCCUAGCUGGUCUGAGAGGAUGACCAGCAAAACAGGAGCGAGGACACGGUCCAGACGCCUACGGGAGGCAGCAGUGGGGAAUAUUUCACAAUGGGCGCAAGCCUGAUGCAGCCAUGCAGCGUGUAUGAAGAAGGCCUUCGGGUUGGAAAGCACUUUCAGCGAGGAGGCGGUACUCGCAGAAGAAGCACCGGCUAACUCCGUGCCAGCCGCCGCGGUAAUAC